RNAcentral lists this ribosomal RNA (251 nucleotides) under uncultured bacterium. RNAcentral's name for it is "partial 16S ribosomal RNA". It matches the Rfam family "Bacterial small subunit ribosomal RNA", at positions 524 to 775 of the family's 1533-position model. The record is from RNAcentral.
GACGAACCGUGCAAACGUUAUUCGGAAUCACUGGGCUUAAAGCGUGCGUAGGCGGCUGAGAAAGUUGGGUGUGAAAUCCCUCGGCUCAACCGAGGAAUUGCGCUCAAAACUACUUGGCUUGAGGGAGUUAGAGGUGAGCGGAACUAAUGGUGGAGCGGUGAAAUGCGUUGAUAUCAUUAGGAACACCGGUGGCGAAAGCGGCUCACUGGGACUCUUCUGACGCUGAGGCACGAAAGCUAGGGAGCGAACGG